UGGGGAAUAUUGCACAAUGGGCGCAAGCCUGAUGCAGCCAUGCCGCGUGUGUGAAGAAGGCCUUCGGGUUGUAAAGCACUUUCAGCGGGGAGGAAGGCGGUGAGGUUAAUAACCUCACCGAUUGACGUUACCCGCAGAAGAAGCACCGGCUAACUCCGUGCCAGCAGCCGCGGUAAUACGGAGGGUGCAAGCGUUAAUCGGAAUUACUGGGCGUAAAGCGCACGCAGGCGGUCUGUCAAGUCGGAUGUGAAAUCCCCGGGCUCAACCUGGGAACUGCAUUCGAAACUGGCAGGCUAGAGUCUUGUAGAGGGGGGUAGAAUUCCAGGUGUAGCGAUGAAAUGCGUAGAGAUCUGGAGGAAUACCGGUGGCGAAGGCGGCCCCCUGGACGAAGACUGACGCUCAGGUGCGAAAGCGUGGGGAGCAAACAGG
RNAcentral lists this ribosomal RNA (429 nucleotides) under Chloroflexota bacterium. RNAcentral's name for it is "Chloroflexi bacterium partial 16S ribosomal RNA". It matches the Rfam family "Bacterial small subunit ribosomal RNA", at positions 355 to 776 of the family's 1533-position model. The record is from RNAcentral. Lineage: Bacteria; Bacillati; Chloroflexota.